Molecule: ribosomal RNA, 433 nt
Filed under: uncultured bacterium
Lineage: Bacteria
Description: partial 16S ribosomal RNA
Rfam family: Bacterial small subunit ribosomal RNA
Source: RNAcentral
AACGAACGCUGGCGGCAUGCCUAACACAUGCAAGUCGAACGAGACCGUCGGGUCUAGUGGCGGACGGGUGGUUAACGCGUGGGAACCUGCCCUUAGGUUCGGAAUAACUCACCGAAAGGGGUGCUAAUACCGGAGAAUGUCAUCGGACAAAAGAUUUAUCGCCUGUGGAUGGGCCCGCGUUGGAUUAGCUGGUUGGUAGGGUAAAAGCCUACCAAGGCGACGAUCCAUAGCUGGUCUGAGAGGAUGAUCAGCCACACUGGGACUGAGACACGGCCCAGACUCCUACGGGAGGCAGCAGUGGGGAAUAUUGGACAAUGGGCGAAAGCCUGAUCCAGCAAUGCCGCGUGAGUGAUGAAGGCCUUAGGGUUGUAAAGCUCUUUUACCCGGGAUGAUAAUGACAGUACCGGGAGAAUAAGCUCCGGCUAACUCCGUG